AUAAAACAUGAACACUCAAGUCAUGAUAAAGUGAUUGUUCAUUUGGCUAGUAAGUUGGAUUCUAUCCGUGUACCAAGUGCACGUGCAAUGAUUAUUUGGAUGUUGGGCGAGUAUAACUCCAUGGGACAUAUAAUUCCAAAGGUGUUACCCACAGUUCUCAAGUAUCUUGCCUGGACUUUUUCUUCUGAAGCACUUGAAACGAAGCUCCAGAUUCUUAAUGCGUUGGUCAAGGUCUUAUUACAUGCAGAAGGGGAAGCACUAUCAACCUUCAAGACACUCUUGAACUAUGUACUUGAACUAGCUAAAUGUGACUCGAACUAUGAUAUCCGUGACCGUGGACGUCUUCUACAGAAACUCUUAUCUCACUACAAAGGCACUCAUGAGUUGGAAGAAUCAACUCCUGACAGCACAUUGCCUGUACUUGUAGGACAUUUAUUUGGGAGAGAAACAAAACCCGUUCCUUCAGAACCAUUAGCUUAUCGGUUUUAUCUUCCUGGAUCUCUUUCACAGAUGGUUCUUCAUGCUGCUCCAGGAUAUGAACCUCUCCCACAGCCAUUAAGUUUGAUCUGCAAUGAUACUACUCACGAAUCCAAUAUGGUAAUAGGUAUGAAACAACCAAGGAAUAGAGCCACCCAAAGUGAAUCAUAUGAAACUGAUGAUGCUAACUCGGUAUCUGGAUCACUAAAUGAAGAAAGCACAUCUGGUUACAAUUCUCAAGAUUCUAAAACUGGUUCAAGUGGAACUCACGGUAGCCACAGGAGUGGGUCUGUGAGUGAUGAUGAUGAGCAUGCUGGUCCACUGAUUCAUCUUUCUGACAAUGGCAAUGCUCAUGGGAAUCAGUUGGGACCAAGGUUUUAUCAAAAUUUUGACUCCAAUGAUCUUGGGGAAUUAAUGUCGAUAAAAUCUCUUGAAUCCUGGUUGGAUGACAAUCCUGGUUCUACCCACAAUCCGGUAGAAUUAAAUAAUGUCUGUCAAUCAUUGGCCAGAAUUUCAAUUGGAGAUAUUAGUAGCAGAGUGAAACCUAAGUCCUACACUUUGUUAGAUCCUGCAAAUGGAAAUGGCUUGAGUGUGGAAUACAUAUUUUCAUCAGAGAUGUCAAGCAUAUCUCCUCUGCUUGUUUGUAUUCAGGUCACAUUUACCAACAAUUCAGUGGAAGCUAUGUCAAAUUUACAGUUGAUCGAAGAGGUUUCUAGCAUGAGGGUAGAAUCUUCAGAUCAAGUGCUGACAUCAGAUGAGAGUUCCAAGAUGUCUGUUAAUGAUGUGCCGACUCUAGUUCCAAU
Molecule: unclassified non-coding RNA, 1280 nt
Filed under: Hevea brasiliensis (rubber tree)
Lineage: Eukaryota; Viridiplantae; Streptophyta; Magnoliopsida; Malpighiales; Euphorbiaceae
Source: RNAcentral